RNAcentral lists this ribosomal RNA (400 nucleotides) under uncultured bacterium. Its description in RNAcentral is "bacterial SSU rRNA". It matches the Rfam family "Bacterial small subunit ribosomal RNA", at positions 355 to 747 of the family's 1533-position model. The record is from RNAcentral.
UGGGGAAUAUUGGACAAUGGGCGAAAGCCUGAUCCAGCAAUGCCGCGUGGGUGAAGACGGCCUGCGGGUUGUAAAGCCCUUUAGGUGGGGAGGAAAGGCGGGACGUGAACAGCGUUUCGCACUGACGUUACCCACGGAAUAAGCACCGGCUAACUCCGUGCCAGCAGCCGCGGUAAUACGGAGGGUGCGAGCGUUAAUCGGAAUUACUGGGCGUAAAGCGUGCGUAGGCGGUUUGGUCAGUCAGCCGUGAAAGCCCCGGGCUUAACCUGGGAACGGCGGUUGAGACGGCCAGACUCGAGUGGGCUAGAGGAUCGUGGAAUUCCCGGUGUAGCAGUGAAAUGCGUAGAGAUCGGGAGGAACACCGAUGGCGAAGGCAGCGAUCUGGGGCCACACUGACGCU